UAUUACCUACGGGGGGCAGCAGUGGGGGAUAUUGCACAAUGGGGGAAACCCUGAUGCAGCGACGCCGCGUGGGCGAAGAAGUAUUUCGGUAUGUAAAGCCCUCUCAGCAGGGAAGAAAAUGACGGUACCUGAGUAAGAAGCCCCGGCUAACUACGUGCCAGCAGCCGCGGUAAUACGUAGGGGGCAAGCGUUAUCCGGAUUUACUGGGUGUAAAGGGAGCGUAGACGGCAGUGCAAGUCUGGAGUGAAAGGCGGGGGCUCAACCCCCGGACUGCUCUGGAAACUGUACGGCUGGAGUGCAGGGGG
RNAcentral lists this ribosomal RNA (305 nucleotides) under uncultured bacterium. Its description in RNAcentral is "partial 16S ribosomal RNA". It matches the Rfam family "Bacterial small subunit ribosomal RNA", at positions 333 to 655 of the family's 1533-position model. The record is from RNAcentral.